CCCUUAGAUGUUCUGGGCCGCGCGCGCGCUACACUGAAGGGAUCAGCGUGUUUUCCCUUUCCGAGAGGAACGGGUAACCCGCUGAACCCCCUUCGUGGUAGGGAUCGGAGCUUGCAAUUGUUCUCCGUGAACCAGGAAUUCCCAGUAAGCGCAAGUCAUAAGCUUGCGUUGAUUACGUCCCUGCCCUUUGUACACACCGCCCGUCGCUACUACCGAUUGAACGUUUUAGUGAGGUAUUUGGACUGGGCCUUGGGAGGUUUCGGCCUCCCUUGUUGCUCGGAAAGACUCCCAAACUUGAGCGUUUAGAGGAAGUAAAAGUCGUAACA
RNAcentral lists this ribosomal RNA (326 nucleotides) under uncultured eukaryote. RNAcentral describes it as "partial 18S ribosomal RNA". It matches the Rfam family "Eukaryotic small subunit ribosomal RNA", at positions 1470 to 1796 of the family's 1831-position model. The record is from RNAcentral.